GAACGCUGGCGGAAUGCUUUACACAUGCAAGUCGAACGGCAGCACGGACUUCGGUCUGGUGGCGAGUGGCGAACGGGUGAGUAAUAUAUCGGAACGUGCCCAGUCGUGGGGGAUAACGUAGUGAAAAUUACGCUAAUACCGCAUACGAUCUAAGGAUGAAAGCGGGGGAUCGCAAGACCUCGCGCGAUUGGAGCGGCCGAUAUCAGAUUAGGUAGUUGGUGAGGUAAAGGCUCACCAAGCCAACGAUCUGUAGCUGGUCUGAGAGGAUGGCCAGCCACACUGGAACUGAGACACGGUCCAGACUCCUACGGGAGGCAGCAGUGGGGAAUAUUGGACAAUGGGGGCAACCCUGAUCCAGCCAUGCCGCGUGUGUGAAGAAGGCCUUCGGGUUGUAAAGCACUUUAAGCGAGGAGGAAGGUUUUUAGUUUAAUACACUAAAGAAUUGACGUUACUCGCAGAAUAAGCACCGGCUAACUCUGUG
RNAcentral lists this ribosomal RNA (481 nucleotides) under uncultured bacterium. RNAcentral describes it as "bacterial SSU rRNA". It matches the Rfam family "Bacterial small subunit ribosomal RNA", at positions 31 to 507 of the family's 1533-position model. The record is from RNAcentral.